GGCACUAUGGCCGAGUGGUUAAGGCGAAAGACUCGAAAUCUCUGGGGCUCUGCCCGCGCUGGUUCAAAUCCUGCUGGUGUCG
RNAcentral lists this transfer RNA (82 nucleotides) under Vanderwaltozyma polyspora DSM 70294. Its description in RNAcentral is "tRNA-Ser (CGA) (tRNA-Ser-CGA-1-1)". It matches the Rfam family "tRNA". Rfam says of the family: Transfer RNA (tRNA) molecules are approximately 80 nucleotides in length. Their secondary structure includes four short double-helical elements and three loops (D, anti-codon, and T loops). The record is from RNAcentral. Lineage: Eukaryota; Fungi; Ascomycota; Saccharomycetes; Saccharomycetales; Saccharomycetaceae.